This 433-nucleotide ribosomal RNA is filed under the name uncultured bacterium. RNAcentral describes it as "bacterial SSU rRNA". It matches the Rfam family "Bacterial small subunit ribosomal RNA", at positions 29 to 507 of the family's 1533-position model. The record is from RNAcentral.
AACGAACGCUGGCGGCAGGCCUAACACAUGCAAGUCGAGCGAGGACUUCGGUCCCAGCGGCGGACGGGUGAGUAACGCGUGGGAACGUGCCCUUUGGUACGGAAUAGCCCCGGGAAACUGGGAGUAAUACCGUAUGGUGUCUUCGGACUAAAGAUUUAUCGCCAAAGGAUCGGCCCGCGUUGGAUUAGGUAGUUGGUGGGGUAAUGGCCUACCAAGCCGACGAUCCAUAGCUGGUUUGAGAGGAUGAUCAGCCACACUGGGACUGAGACACGGCCCAGACUCCUACGGGAGGCAGCAGUGGGGAAUCUUAGACAAUGGGGGCAACCCUGAUCUAGCCAUGCCGCGUGAGUGGUGAAGGCCCUAGGGUUGUAAAGCUCUUUCAGCUGGGAAGAUAAUGACGGUACCAGCAGAAGAAGCCCCGGNUAACUCCGUG